CAGGAUCCACAAUGAUACAUUCCCCAUGAAGCCUUUACAAAAACCCGUAUGUGCAAAAAGCUUGUAGGAGAGUGUGUUAAGGCAGCUACAGAGAAUUCUGCAGCACAGCGGGCAUGUUCUGUCUUGUUUUUUCUUGAUAGACCUAGCAUGCUAGGACUUACUUUCAUCAUCUGAGAACCAAGCCUACCCUCUCUGGAAAACAAGCCAGGAGAUUCUGAGACAUAGAAAUAAUUUUCAGCAAGCCACAUUGACUGCAGAUGCACCUAAAACCUAUCAGAGGACGUGAAGCAGAGAAUUAAUAUUUUUUUUUCUGAUGAGAUAAUGUUUGCAAUAGACCACAAAAUGCUUCUUUAUUAAUGUGAUAAAAGCUUUAGAAAAAUAAUUCUGAUGUACCUGGUAUCUUUCAGAGGCACUAAAUAAAAUGUAUUGGGGUUCUCUCUCUUAAAUAAGCCUCCGGUGUCCACUGACUGACUCAUGCCUGUGAGCACAAAGGUUUUCUCUAAUCCUUCUCCACACUCGUCUCACUGCAGUUCUUCCUAAUGGAUAUCAAGGGUUUGUCUGAGACCAGCCAACUGAUUCUUCUGGACUCUCCUUGUGUGGAUUACUUUUAACCUAUCAGAAAAUUGAGUAGGAUCCAGAAAGACUAUUCAAGAUGGCUGGCCUGCCAUUGAAGGGAAAACAAAUGGAUUCGUUUUAGUUCAGUGCCACAAAGGUGAACCACCUAUAUGAAAAGGCAUGUGACUAUGACAACCACAAAGCAAGUAUUAUUUGAUUAUUAACUCCGCAAGUUACAGAAGGGAAGGCUUUGCAAUGCUUAGAGUACAAGACUGACAGUAAAGAAGCUCUAGUUGUAGAGGAAUUAUAUUUCUAGACAAUGACAACCUCUACCACUUUGGGUACAUCUGCAUGGUUUCUACAUCUGCAAAAUCAGAACAGCAGGUAAUAUCAGUGAGAUAACAUGGAGAUUAGAGAAAGGUUGUAAAACAACUUGAGGUGAAAUGUAGACAUUAAAAUUAAGUAUCAAAAAACUCUGGGAAAUGCUUUUAUAAAUGCUACAGGUUAUACAAUGGGAUUUCAAGCUGGUUUUCUGCCAAAGCCCUUCAGACAGAGAUUGAGGGAUCUUUAGGGUUCCACAUACCGUAAACAAUGCUUAAGCUUCUGCUUACUAAACUCGGCUGCAGGGCAUCCAUUUUCUUAGCUUAUGAUACAACACUUUGUCACUGUGACCAACAAUAAACUGACUUUCGGCGAUGGCACAAAACUUACAGUAAUAGGGAAGAACGAUGAAAUCAUACCUCCAGCUGUGGCCAUCUUUUCCCCAUCAAAGCAAGAGAUCCAACAGAAGAGCAAGGCCACGCUGGUAUGCCUGGCCUCUGGUUUCUACCCUGACCACCUAAAUCUGGUCUGGAAGGUGAAUGGUGCUAAAAGGACAGAAGGGGUGGGGACAGAUGAGUUUUCCACAUGGAAUGGGAGUACCUACUCAUUGACCAGCCGACUGAGGAUCUCAGCCCAGGAAUGGUUCAACCCUUUAAAUCGUUUUGAGUGUGUUGCCAAUUUUUUUGAGAACGGAACCCUGGAAUCAAUACACAAAUUACUCUACGGUGAUGCUGGUUGUGCACUCACGGAAGAGUCCUACUUGUGGUAUGGAAAUUCUCUGAAGCUCACUUACCUCAUUCUCUGUGGCAAAGCCUUGCUCUAUGCAGUUUUGGUGAGCAGUCUGGUGUGGACAGCCAAGGCUGGUGGCAAGUUGUAUAGAGAAUAAAUCAAGAGUCCUCUUCAUCACAUCAGCAGGAACACAGCAAAUUAUACUUUCUACCUUUCCAUAGCAAAGGAUUUAUGCUUCUGUCUAUGAACUUCUGAAUAUUAUUUCUUGGUGACUCUCUGUCCCCCUCCUGUUCUUUCCACUUUGUUGUAAUCACUGCUGGGUUUUCCCUGUACUUCAAUAUCACAUUGUAUUGUAUCGUAUUGUAUCAUAUCAUAUAGUAUCAUGUCUUUAAAACUAACACCUUCUUAAUGAUCAGAAGCUGAGAACCCAGCUCCUUGAAUUAGGAAUAAAGUUUUAGCUUCUUUUCCA
This is a non-coding RNA of Aquila chrysaetos chrysaetos, 2074 nucleotides long. The record is from the annotation of a RefSeq genome assembly. Lineage: Eukaryota; Metazoa; Chordata; Aves; Accipitriformes; Accipitridae.